RNAcentral lists this ribosomal RNA (585 nucleotides) under Triticum aestivum (bread wheat). Its description in RNAcentral is "partial small subunit ribosomal RNA". Lineage: Eukaryota; Viridiplantae; Streptophyta; Magnoliopsida; Poales; Poaceae. The record is from RNAcentral.
AUGUGGAGCUGUCUUCGUCAGCGCUAUGAGCCCUCUGGUGAUGCCUUAUACCUUUCUGUGGUUCGUCAGGAGCAUGCUCUUCAGCAGGGUGACUCUACUGUUGAUGACUUUUAUGCACAGAGUUCUGCUAUCUGGCGCCAGCUUGAUUCUCUCCGCAGUGCUGGUUGUCGUACUUGCCCCUGCUGCCAGGCUGUCCAGGCCAAUUUGGAGUUUCAUCGCGUCUACGAGUUCCUGUCUCGGCUCCGUAAGGAGUUUGAGCCCCGGCGUGCUCAGUUGUUUGCUCGUGGCCGUAUUUCUCUCAUGGAGGUGCUUUCAGAGAUUCGUUCUGAGGAGACUCGCUUACGUGGUGCUGGUUUGCUGGAGGUUCCCUCUGUGCUCGCUACUCGGGCUUCUUCCACUCCACCUGCUGCACCGACCCAUUCUCGCUCGAGUACUCCGCCGCUCUUGCCCACUCCUUCUGGAGGCUGAGGUCGCCCCCGUCCACAUUGUGACUACUGCAACAAUGAUGGUCAUAUUGAGUCCCAGUGCUACACAAAGCGGAAACACCUGCGCAAGGCGCGAUCAUCAUCCUCAAGGACUUCGUCA